AUUGAACGCUGGCGGCCGGCCUAACACAUGCAAGUCGAACGAGUGGCGGACGGGUGAGUAAUGUCUGGGAAACUGCCUGAUGGAGGGGGAUAACUACUGGAAACGGUAGCUAAUACCGCAUACCAUCAAAUGUGCCCAGAUGGGAUUAGCUUGUGGGUGGGGUAACGGAUCACCAAGGCGACGAUCCCUAGCUGGUCUGAGAGGAUGACCAGCCACACUGGAACUGAUACACGGCCCAGACUCCUACGGGAGGCAGAAGUGGGGAAUAUUGCACAAUGGGCGCAAGCCUGAUGCAGCCAUGCCGCGUGUAUGAAGAAGGCCUUCGGGUUGUAAAGUACUUUCAGCGGGGAGGCGUUACCCGCAGAAGAAGCACCGGCUAACUCCGUGCCAGCAGCCGCGGGAAUAC
Molecule: ribosomal RNA, 406 nt
Filed under: uncultured bacterium
Lineage: Bacteria
Description: partial 16S ribosomal RNA
Rfam family: Bacterial small subunit ribosomal RNA
Source: RNAcentral